UACGAAGGGGGCUAGCGUUGCUCGGAAUCACUGGGCGUAAAGCGCACGUAGGCGGAUUGCUAAGUCAGGGGUGAAAUCCUGGAGCUCAACUCCAGAACUGCCUUUGCUACUGGCGACCUUGAGUCCGGGAGAGGUGAGUGGAACUGCGAGUGUAGAGGUGAAAUUCGUAGAUAUUCGCAAGAACACCAGUGGCGAAGGCGGCUCACUGGCCCGGUACUGACGCUGAGGUGCGAAAGCGUGGGGAGCAAACAGG
RNAcentral lists this ribosomal RNA (253 nucleotides) under uncultured bacterium. RNAcentral's name for it is "partial 16S ribosomal RNA". It matches the Rfam family "Bacterial small subunit ribosomal RNA", at positions 524 to 776 of the family's 1533-position model. The record is from RNAcentral.